RNAcentral lists this ribosomal RNA (254 nucleotides) under uncultured bacterium. Its description in RNAcentral is "partial 16S ribosomal RNA". It matches the Rfam family "Bacterial small subunit ribosomal RNA", at positions 524 to 776 of the family's 1533-position model. The record is from RNAcentral.
CACGUAGGGCGCAAGCGUUGUCCGGAAUUAUUGGGCGUAAAGAGCUCGUAGGCGGUCUGUUGCGUCCGCUGUGAAAACUCGAGGCUCAACCUCGAGACGUCGGCGGAAACCAUCUGGCUAGAGUCCGGAAGAGGAGAGUGGAAUUCCUGGUGUAAGCGGUGAAAUGCGCAGAUAUCAGGAAGAACACCCGUGGCGAAGGCGGCUCACUGGACCGGCAUUGACGCUGAGGUGCGAAAGCGUGGGGAGCAAACAGG